GACGAACGCUGGCGGCGUGCUUAACACAUGCAAGUCGAGCGGUAAGGCCCUUUCGGGGGUACACGAGCGGCGAACGGGUGAGUAACACGUGGGUGACCUGCCCUCAGCUCUGGGAUAAGCCCGGGAAACUGGGUCUAAUACCGGAUAUGACUCCAUGACGCAUGUUGUGGGGUGGAAAGCCUUGUGCGGCUGAGGAUGGGCCCGCGGCCUAUCAGCUUGUUGGUGGGGUGANGGCCUACCAAGGCGACGACGGGUAGCCGGCCUGAGAGGGCGACCGGCCACACUGGGACUGAGACACGGCCCAGACUCCUACGGGAGGCAGCAGUGGGGAAUCUUGCGCAA
This 342-nucleotide ribosomal RNA is filed under the name uncultured bacterium. RNAcentral's name for it is "bacterial SSU rRNA". It matches the Rfam family "Bacterial small subunit ribosomal RNA", at positions 28 to 371 of the family's 1533-position model. The record is from RNAcentral.